UAGUCCACGCCGUAAACGAUGGUCACUAGCUGUUCGAACUUCGGUUUGAGUGGCUAAGCGAAAGUGAUAAGUGACCCACCUGGGGAGUACGUUCGCAAGAAUGAAACUCAAAGGAAUUGACGGGGGCCCGCACAAGCGGUGGAGCAUGUGGUUUAAUUCGAUGAUACGCGAGGAACCUUACCAGGGCUUAAAUGUAGAUUGCAUUAGCUAGAGAUAGCUAUUUCUUCGGACUAUCUACAAGGUGCUGCAUGGUUGUCGUCAGCUCGUGCCGUGAGGUGUCAGGUUAAGUCCUAUAACGAGCGCAACCCCUGUUGUUAGUUGCCAGCGAGUCAUGUCGGGGACUCUAACGAGACUGCCGGUGCAAACCGUGAGGAAGGUGGGGAUGACGUCAAAUCAUCACGGGCCCUUACGUCCUGGGGCCACACACGUGCUACAAUGGCAGGGUACAGAGAGCAGCCACGACGCAAGUCGGGAGCGAAUCUACAAAACCUGUCACAGUUCGGGA
Molecule: ribosomal RNA, 505 nt
Filed under: uncultured bacterium
Lineage: Bacteria
Description: bacterial SSU rRNA
Rfam family: Bacterial small subunit ribosomal RNA
Source: RNAcentral